UAUAAAGUAUUACUGCCGAAGACAGUAGGUGCCGCAUGGCGUAACGUAAAGCUACCUACCGAGGAGAAUCAUUAGUAUGAGCUAAUUAUGCCCUUUGUCUUUGGAGACAGAGGGCUUUUCUUUUUA
This 126-nucleotide small RNA is filed under the name uncultured Anaerostipes sp. RNAcentral's name for it is "Ribosomal protein L10 leader". It matches the Rfam family "Ribosomal protein L10 leader". From Rfam's summary of the family: This family is a putative r-protein leader autoregulatory structure found in B. subtilis and other low-GC Gram-positive bacteria. It is located in the 5' untranslated regions of mRNAs encoding ribosomal proteins L10 and L12 (rplJ-rplL). Lineage: Bacteria; Bacillati; Bacillota; Clostridia; Lachnospirales; Lachnospiraceae. The record is from RNAcentral.